Molecule: ribosomal RNA, 466 nt
Filed under: uncultured bacterium
Lineage: Bacteria
Description: partial 16S ribosomal RNA
Rfam family: Bacterial small subunit ribosomal RNA
Source: RNAcentral
GAUGAACGCUGGCGGCGUGCUUAACACAUGCAAGUCGAACGAUAAAGCCCAGCUUGCUGGGGGGAUUAGUGGCGAACGGGUGAGUAACACGUGAGUAACCUGCCCCUGGCUCUGGGAUAAGCGCUGGAAACGGCGUCUAAUACCGGAUACGAGCUUCCACCGCAUUGGGAGGUGCUGGAAAGAAUUGUGGUCGAGGGUGGACUCGCGGGCUAUGCGGUAGUUGGUGGGGUAACGGCUCACCAAACCGAUGACGGGCAGGCGGGCUGGGGGGGGGGGCGGGCACAUUGGGAAUGAGAAACGGGCCAGAGCGCGACGGGGGGCAGCAGUGGGGAAUAUUGCACAAUGGGCGGAAGCCUGAUGCAGCAACGCCGCGUGCGGGAUGAAGGCCUUCGGGUUGUAAACCGCUUUCGCCUGUGACGAAGCGUGAGUGACGGUAAUGGGUAAAGAAGCACCGGCUAACUACGUG